GGAGGGUGCAAACGUUGCUCGGAAUCAUUGGGCGUAAAGCGCACGUAGGCGGUUUGUUAAGUCGGGUGUGAAAGCCCUGGGCUCAACCCAGGAAGUGCACUCGAAACUGGCAGGCUUGAAUAUGGAAGAGGGUCGCGGAAUUCCCGGUGUAGAGGUGAAAUUCGUAGAUAUCGGGAGGAACACCAGUGGCGAAGGCGGCGACCUGGGCCAAUAUUGACGCUGAGGUGCGAAAGCGUGGGGAGCAAGCAGGAUUAGAUACCCUGGUAGUCCACGCCGUAAACGAUGGAUGCUAGAUGUUGCGGGUAUUGACCCCUGCAGCGUCGCAGCUAACGCAUUAAGCAUCCCGCCUGGGGAGUACGGCCGCAAGACUA
RNAcentral lists this ribosomal RNA (371 nucleotides) under uncultured bacterium. Its description in RNAcentral is "bacterial SSU rRNA". It matches the Rfam family "Bacterial small subunit ribosomal RNA", at positions 527 to 896 of the family's 1533-position model. The record is from RNAcentral.